Molecule: long non-coding RNA, 561 nt
Organism: Suricata suricatta (meerkat)
Lineage: Eukaryota; Metazoa; Chordata; Mammalia; Carnivora; Herpestidae
Exons: 2
Source: RefSeq, a predicted model, not a curated record
CUACAAAUCCCACCAGACACCGCGCGCCCACAACAAGCCGGUCUACUCUCCACCGCCGCCGGGCCUCCUGGGACCUGUAGUCUCCACUCCCCUCCGCGCUGGUGGCCAGGAUGCGCACAGCCGCCGACUCCCAGUCCCUGGACCCUCAAGACACGGCCCACUUCUCGAGUGGAAGGUGUCGAGGCGGAAACCGCCCAAGCCGCCGAUAAGAAGGCGGAGAUCAGCGGACGUGGCGCCACCGAAUUCGGACGAGCGAGGGAGCGUUCGGCGGCGAAACUUCCCCUUCCGGCGGCCGCGGAAGACGUUGACCAGAAGUCCCGACGCUUAAAGGGCAAGCACCGAUUUUACGACUGAGUCGCAGUUCGGCGAUAGGGGGCGGGGCGGUAUGGGGCGGGACCAAGCGGAACGGAGGCACGAAUGGUGGGAAACCGUGGUUGCCAGGGGCAACGGCAAAUACUCCAGCCAAUGGCUAGGCUGAACGCGUGCUACCUAGUUCAAGCCGGAGUUGUAAUCCUGGUGGGUUCUCUUGGACAGUGUUUAAGAAGGAAGGAGGAAAACGAA